UUUCCGUAGGUGAACCUGCGGAAGGAUUAUUAAUGAGUUGUCAUGGGGUUCGAUGCUGGCAGCCAGUUUUUGGAUGCAUGUGCUUGCCCUAACAAUCAUCUUCUUCCAAACACCUGUGCACAUUUUCGAGGGAGUCUUGAGUUGGUUGCCGCUCUUGGGUGAUUUUCUCACAUUCCCUUAAAUCAUUAUACGCUAUUAACAAUGUUGAACGUGCUCUGUGCCGCAAGGCCAUUAAUAUAAUACAACUUUUAACAACGGAUCUCUUGGCUCUC
RNAcentral lists this unclassified non-coding RNA (272 nucleotides) under plant metagenome. Its description in RNAcentral is "partial contains small subunit ribosomal RNA, internal transcribed spacer 1, and 5.8S ribosomal RNA". The record is from RNAcentral.